This 162-nucleotide ribosomal RNA is filed under the name Tolpis succulenta. Its description in RNAcentral is "5.8S ribosomal RNA". It matches the Rfam family "5.8S ribosomal RNA". From Rfam's summary of the family: 5.8S ribosomal RNA (5.8S rRNA) is a component of the large subunit of the eukaryotic ribosome. It is transcribed by RNA polymerase I as part of the 45S precursor that also contains 18S and 28S rRNA. Functionally, it is thought that 5.8S rRNA may be involved in ribosome translocation. The record is from RNAcentral. Lineage: Eukaryota; Viridiplantae; Streptophyta; Magnoliopsida; Asterales; Asteraceae.
AAACGACUCUCGGCAACGGAUAUCUCGGCUCACGCAUCGAUGAAGAACGUAGCAAAAUGCGAUACUUGGUGUGAAUUGCAGAAUCCCGUGAACCAUCGAGUUUUUGAACGCAAGUUGCGCCCGAAGCCUUCUGGCCGAGGGCACGCCUGCCUGGGCGUCACG